AAAAUGUAAGUUGAAGUGCAAUGAUGAAAAAGAGAGAAAUGUUUACUACAGUUCAAAGUUAACAUUUCAAAUUUAACAUAUGUGUUUUAUUUUAAUUAUCAAUAUUAUCUGAACAAAAAACGACAAAUUAUAUGUUUAUAGUAAUAUUAUGUUUAUAGCAGUUAAGAAAAGGUUCACUGGAAUUACUAAAGCGUUACCAAACGCUUUUGGUCACCAAAUGUAAACAAAUUAUUUUAUAGAUCAACUUCCUUCAAUGGCUGACCGAAUACUCUGUUGCAUUCAGUAAUUAAAUUGAAGUAUAUUCCGACUAACCGUUGAUAUAUCUUUUAUUUUAUGUGUCGUGACUGCAUGUUAAAGGCAGUCCAUUGGUUUUGGGGAAAUCAUGAACUGCAGUAUUUGGGAAAUUUUUGUGUGAAACCAAGAUGGCGUAAAGUGUUGUAGUGUUGUAUUAUUAACUGAUAUGAUGGAGUUUAUUCAUAGAACUAUGAUCUGGACAAUGCUGCUAGUUUUGUAUCGCGUUUUACCUUUAAACGCUCAUGUUUCUCAAUCUACGAGUGGUAAUAUAAUUUACAAAGCCAAUGAAAAUAAAUGGCUAGAGGAUUCACAUCACAACAAACUAGAACGUUCAUCAAAGCCUGGUAAAAGGCAAAUGGUGUUCAGCGUGAAUGGAAUACAACACAUAUACGAAAAUCCUGGUAAAGACAGUGCUUACCAAGGCUUAGGUAAUAACUUUGGACAGACGAACUUUGGGAACCCCGUGGAAAGAGAAACAGCAGGUUCAAAUUCAAUGGCGCGACAGUUUUCAGCGAGUUCGUUUGCUGGUAAUGUUGAGGAGAAUUUGUCUCCAACACCAAGAAGUGAUUCUCCUUUGCCUGAGAGAGGAGCUUCGUAUAAAUCAAAUUCACAAAUGGCAGAUAUACAUCUCGAAAUGAAUUCUGCAGGAGACAUACACAGUCUACCAAGAGACUCUUCGCAGAGUACUAAUAUAUAUAACAGAGUUGUGAAUACGAACUUCAUGCCUUCCCAGGAACAGCAGACGAACAUUCAAAACACUUUGCAAGGCAUGGCAGAACGUUCUCAGAGUGAUUUACCCACAUCAGAACGACCCGAUGUUCAGGAGUCAUCCAUAACACCUUUCCGGGCUGGAGAAAGGCUGUUUGAAAAUACUUCACCAGAAAACGUUCAACAGAGUGUCUCCUUAAUGGAUUCAUAUUCUCAGAACACCGAGAACGCUUUACAUGGACGUUUUAACAAUGACCUCUCCUCACUUAAACCGCGCAUGGAAAAAGACGAACCACCAUCGGAAACACAAGAUCCUAAUGGUACCAACCUACCCUCGAGUGACUUGAUGGAACACAGCUUCAUCAGCCCACAAAGGGACCCACACCUCUCCACCCUCCCCUCAACUCGCCACAUUGAACCUGUACUUCACCCUGAUUCGGGACCUCAAGUUAUCAACGCCCUUGGUCCAGACAACGUUCACAUCAUCAAAAAAUUCUACCCCCUUCCUGUCGUCCAGAAGGUUCCAAGGCCCAUUCCCGUCACCGUAACGAAACCUGUCCCGUAUCCAGUUCAUCAAAAGAGCUUCCAAUUCGUGCCACGGCCGUAUCCGCAGCCAUUCUCCAAACCAGAUGUUCACCUCGCCUAUGUUCAUCUUGAAAACAGAGCAAAUCCUUGCAAACAUGGCGGAAUUAUAGUUGAGAGUCCUGGUGGUUAUAAUUGCUUAUGUCGCAAGGCUUACAAGGGAAAGCAUUGUCAAGAUCGAGAUUGGUGCUAUCCUUUCCCGUGUCAAAAUAACGGAGAUUGUAUUGAUCAAGGGACGCAUUAUGAAUGCAGGUGUCCUAAAGGAUUCAAGGGGAUAAACUGUGAAGUUGCAGACAAAUGUCACAAUCACCCGUGUAAAAAUGAUGCUAAAUGUAUUCAGUUGUUGGCCGAAAUCAAGUGUGUCUGUUCUCCUGGUUACAAGGGCAAAUAUUGCCAAGAUGUAGAUCAUUGCCACCCUAAUCCUUGCCAUCACGGUGGGAAAUGUGAGGAACUCAAUCAAGCAGCCUCGUGCACGUGCACAUCAUCGUUCAAAGGACGUCGUUGUCAAGUUCCCAAGACGUGUUCUCUCAAUCUUUGUCGCAAUGGUGCGACUUGUCUGGAAGAUAAACCAAGUAACCCGUGCUUGUGCGCGCCGGGUUUUUCUGGACGACAUUGUACUGAGGAUGUCUGUCAACCAAAUCCUUGCCAACACAAUGGAAAGUGUUAUCCUGCACAAAAUACAUUUAACAACACGUGGUACGCUUCCUGCCAAUGCAGGAGUAUUUACAAAGGUGACAUGUGUGAAGUUCCAAAUCCGUGUGCCUCGAAUCCUAGUCCUUGUGUCCAUGGACUAUGCUACGACGCCUAUACGAACAUUGAUCAAGUCGCGAUUCCCCCAGAAGGAUACACGUGUCAUUGUUACGAAGGAUACUUUGGGGUUAACUGCCAAUCAAAGAGAUGCGACCACUGCGAUCCAAAUGCACGAUGCUUGGACGGAUUUAAAUGCACAUGCAAUGAGGGAUAUCAAGGGGAUGGACAGGAUUGUCGAAAAAUCCCCGAUCCUUGUGUCCCAAAUCCCUGUGAAAACGAGGGAUUUUGUCAGGCCGAACUUGGUACAUUUGAGUGCAAGUGCGUUCCAGGGUUCAAGGGAAGAACCUGCAGAGAGAAGACUCCGUGUUCAGGAGUGGUAAACCCUUGCAGGAAUGGUGGAACUUGUAUCGACGAGAAGAACAAUUUCCGAUGCAUUUGCACAAGAGAAUGGAAAGGAAAAGACUGCUCGCAAAAUACGACCAGUUUAUGCCAAGGUGAGCGCUGUCUCAAUGGGGGAACUUGCAGGGUAUCUGAGGACGGUAAGAGUUGGUAUUGUGUAUGCAAGAGUCCUCACUUCAAGCCUCCAGAUUGCGCCUGCGCCUGCCCGGCCAAUGCACAUAACCCUACCGAACGAAACCUAACCUGCAACAACCCGGAAGGUGUGUGCGAAUGCCCGGCAGGUUUUGAACAUCACAAAGGACGCGAUGUCUGUCUUGAUGGUAGAACAAAACCUGUUAGUGGAAAGUCAGAACGAAGUUGUGUUCCUAAUCCUUGCAUAAAUGGAGGAACGUGCGUGCCGCUGUCGUCGUCAAAAUGGAUUUGCCAAUGCCCUGUGGGUUGGAGCGGAAAGACGUGUAAUAUUAAAGCUCCGAUUGGGAAGAACGAAAGUUGCAUCCCCAAUCCUUGUGAAAAUGGAGGUUUAUGUCGCGUUGUGAAUGGUACUGCCGUUUGCUCUUGUCCCGAGGGAUUUUUGCCUCCUCUUUGUGAAAUUAAAGCUAAAUCCGUGUGUUCGCCAAGUCCCUGUCGUAAUCAGGGUCGUUGCGUUAUCGCUGGAGAAAGCUACGAUUGCAUUUGUAAUCAGCGAUACACAGGACCAAAUUGCGAAGUUGAUAGAUGUUUAAAAUGUGAUCCGGUGAAUGCUUGGUGCAAUCUUGGACAGUGUGUGUGUAAACCUGGAUUCACGGGCAAUGGCUAUCAGUGUACACUUCGUAGUAGUGUUAGUCCAAAGAAAGUUAAUGUCUGCAUUCUAUGUCACCCAGUUAAAGCAUUUUGCAUGGAUAAUACUUGUCAUUGUAAAUCUGGAUUUGUCGGUGAUGGUUAUCAAUGUACGGGCAGUCAUCCUGAUCUAAACAAGAUGAUCACGGAUGCUUGAUUCCUGUUUUAAUUCGUGGAUUAUUUAACGUCCAGAGUGACGUCAGCACUAUGCCAAUCUUCUCCUUGGUUUCCAGUCUUCGUAAACAAGAUCAACCGACCCUUACCCUCUGGGACCAGAUACAACAGUAUGGUCACCCUGUGGUCCAGUAUUCAUCGUCUUGGUUGAACCGCUGUGCUGUGUCCAUGGUAUCAACCCCUGGUUACCAGCAGUGAACCAUAUAUUCCAGCCAUCUUCGAAGUCUGUAUCGUAUUUUCCUGAAAGAAAGGCAGGUGGAAAGAUCUUCGCCUGCGCCGAUGCAAGCUUUGCCACCAUUACUUGGAGCGGGUCUGUUACACUGUCUGGUUCGUCUGUGUUUAC
Molecule: RNA transcript, 4066 nt
Organism: Dendronephthya gigantea
Lineage: Eukaryota; Metazoa; Cnidaria; Anthozoa; Malacalcyonacea; Nephtheidae
Gene name: neurogenic locus notch homolog protein 1-like
Exons: 22
Source: RefSeq, a predicted model, not a curated record